Non-coding RNA from Paramuricea clavata, 800 nucleotides. The record is from the annotation of a GenBank genome assembly. NCBI's taxonomy places the organism in Eukaryota, Metazoa, Cnidaria, Anthozoa, Malacalcyonacea, Plexauridae.
CUAUGUCUAUGGAGUUCAUGUUAUAAGUUAUGUCUUAUAUAUAAUACUUUUUUUGCCAAAUUAUGCUAAUUUCUAGAUCUGAUUCGCAUUUGUGAUGCAUCGAAUGGUGGAUCAUCCAUAAUGACCCAUUGGUGCUGCACAUUCUGGUGGUCCCUGGUUCAUUUUAACACACCACAUAUUCGGUGUUGAGCAACCUAUUCGUGCACAUUUCAACCAACCCCGUGUAGGACAGGAACCACAAGGCGGAUCUUUUGCCCUGCCGCAUCGCUGAUGGAACCUGCACCCAGUGUUACCCUUAAUAAAGCAAAAUAAAGAAAUAUUAAAAUAAUACUGAUGUUCUUUAUAUAGUCAUGGAAGUUUCUACUAACUGCAUGUUUAUAAAUAUUUAUGUGCCGGGACGUACGACUGCCUGCAAGUAAUGUUCAUGGACACGAUUGGGAAAUGGAUAAAGUACAUGCAUGCAAACUAUAGUUAAUUAUUCAUGAUUUUCACAACACCCAUUUCAGUUAGCCCCAUCAUAGACAAUCCAGAAGACUGAUGGAUACCUCAAAUUAUCUAUCUCGCUCCUAGUGAAGAAGACUGAUAGAUACCUCAGAAGACUGAUAGAUAUCUCAAAUUAUCUAUCUCGCUCCUAGUGAACUAAUUUAACUAACUUACUGCAGUGGUCAACUCGAAAGCCUAGACUACUUUGAUCACUGUGCACAAAUGUUACUUUCAUAAUAAUCGUUUAUAAUGUAAUCUAUGGUAUUUAGUUUUCUGUAAUAUUUUAUGUAUUUUGUGUAUUUAUGUAUAAAUGUGCG